AUUGAACGCUGGCGGAAUGCUUUACACAUGCAAGUCGAACGGCAGCACGGACUUCGGUCUGGUGGCGAGUGGCGAACGGGUGAGUAAUGUAUCGGAACGUGCCCAGUCGUGGGGGAUAACGUAGUGAAAAUUACGCUAAUACCGCAUACGAUCUAUGGAUGAAAGCGGGGGAUCGCAAGACCUCGCGCGAUUGGAGCGGCCGAUAUCAGAUUAGGUAGUUGGUGGGGUAAAGGCCCACCAAGCCAACGAUCUGUAGCUGGCCUGAGACGACGACCAGCCACACUGGAACUGAGACACGGUCCAGACUCCUACGGGAGGCAGCAGUGGGGAAUUUUGGACAAUGGGCGAAAGCCUGAUCCAGCCACUCCGCGUGCAGGAUGAAGGCCCUCGGGUUGUAAACUGCUUUUGUACAGAACGAAAAGGUUUCUACUAAUACUAGGAGCUCAUGACGGUACUGUAAGAAUAAGCACCGGCUAACUACGUGCCAGCAGCCGCAGUAA
This 500-nucleotide ribosomal RNA is filed under the name uncultured bacterium. Its description in RNAcentral is "partial 16S ribosomal RNA". It matches the Rfam family "Bacterial small subunit ribosomal RNA", at positions 30 to 523 of the family's 1533-position model. The record is from RNAcentral.